CCUCGAACUUGAGGCAAGCUAUUGCUUGAGUCUGGCGCCUUAGACCACUCGGCCAUCCGUGCU
Molecule: small RNA, 63 nt
Filed under: Caenorhabditis elegans
Lineage: Eukaryota; Metazoa; Nematoda; Chromadorea; Rhabditida; Rhabditidae
Description: Unclassified non-coding RNA F02D10.13
Source: RNAcentral